UGGCUCAGUGGUUAAGAGCACUGGCUGCUCUUCCAGAGAUCCUGAGUUCAAUUCUCAG
Transfer RNA from Neotoma lepida (desert woodrat), 58 nucleotides. It matches the Rfam family "tRNA", at positions 8 to 63 of the family's 71-position model. From Rfam's summary of the family: Transfer RNA (tRNA) molecules are approximately 80 nucleotides in length. Their secondary structure includes four short double-helical elements and three loops (D, anti-codon, and T loops). The record is from Rfam. NCBI's taxonomy places the organism in Eukaryota, Metazoa, Chordata, Mammalia, Rodentia, Cricetidae.